UACGGGGGAGCAAGCGUUGUUCGGAUUUACUGGGCGUAAAGGACGCGUAGGCGGUCAGCACAAGUCAGUUGUGAAAUCUCCGGGCUUAACUCGGAAAGGUCAACUGAUACUGUGCGACUAGAGUGCGGAAGGGGCAACUGGAAUUCUCGGUGUAGCGGUGAAAUGCGUAGAUAUCGAGAGGAACACCAGUGGCGAAAGCGGCUUCCUGGUCCAGCACCGACGUUCAGGCACGAAAGCGUGGGGAGCAAACAGG
RNAcentral lists this ribosomal RNA (253 nucleotides) under uncultured prokaryote. RNAcentral describes it as "partial 16S ribosomal RNA". It matches the Rfam family "Bacterial small subunit ribosomal RNA", at positions 524 to 776 of the family's 1533-position model. The record is from RNAcentral.